RNAcentral lists this ribosomal RNA (429 nucleotides) under Verrucomicrobiota bacterium. Its description in RNAcentral is "Verrucomicrobia bacterium partial 16S ribosomal RNA". It matches the Rfam family "Bacterial small subunit ribosomal RNA", at positions 355 to 776 of the family's 1533-position model. The record is from RNAcentral. Lineage: Bacteria; Pseudomonadati; Verrucomicrobiota.
UGGGGAAUAUUGCACAAUGGGGGAAACCCUGAUGCAGCGACGCCGCGUGAGCGAAGAAGGUUUUCGGAUCGUAAAGCUCUGUUGUUAAGGAAGAACGAGUGUGAGAAUGGAAAGUUCAUGCUGUGACGGUACUUAACCAGAAAGGGACGGCUAACUACGUGCCAGCAGCCGCGGUAAUACGUAGGUCCCGAGCGUUGUCCGGAUUUAUUGGGCGUAAAGCGAGCGCAGGCGGUUAGAAAAGUCUGAAGUGAAAGGCAGUGGCUCAACCAUUGUAGGCUUUGGAAACUGUUUAACUUGAGUGCAGAAGGGGAGAGUGGAAUUCCAUGUGUAGCGGUGAAAUGCGUAGAUAUAUGGAGGAACACCGGUGGCGAAAGCGGCUCUCUGGUCUGUAACUGACGCUGAGGCUCGAAAGCGUGGGGAGCGAACAGG